Molecule: transfer RNA, 73 nt
Filed under: Basidentitermes aurivillii
Lineage: Eukaryota; Metazoa; Arthropoda; Insecta; Blattodea; Termitidae
Description: tRNA-Tyr
Source: RNAcentral
AGUGGGAUGGCUGAGGUAAAAUUAGGCGAUAGGCUGUAAAUCUAUUUAGGAGCGUUAUAGUGCUCUUCCACUA